CUANCNUGCNNNUCNAGCGGCAGCGGGUCCUUCGGGAUGCCGGCGAGCGGCGGACGGGUGAGUAAUGCCUAGGAAUCUGCCUGGUAGUGGGGGAUAACGUUCGGAAACGGACGCUAAUACCGCAUACGUCCUACGGGAGAAAGUGGGGGAUCUUCGGACCUCACGCUAUCAGAUGAGCCUAGGUCGGAUUAGCUAGUUGGUGGGGUAAUGGCUCACCAAGGCGACGAUCCGUAACUGGUCUGAGAGGAUGAUCAGUCACACUGGAACUGAGACACGGUCCAGACUCCUACGGGAGGCAGCAGUGGGGAAUAUUGGACAAUGGGCGAAAGCCUGAUCCAGCCAUGCCGCGUGUGUGAAGAAGGUCUUCGGAUUGUAAAGCACUUUAAGUUGGGAGGAAGGGCAGCUAGUUAAUACCUGGUUGUUUUGACGUUACCAACAGAAUAAGCACCGGCUAACUUCGUGCCAGCAGCCGCGGUAAUACGAAGGGUGCAAGCGUUAAUCGGAAUUACUGGGCGUAAAGCGCGCGUAGGUGGUUCAGCAAGUUGGAGGUGAAAUCCCCGGGCUCAACCUGGGAACUGCCUCCAAAACUACUGAGCUAGAGUACGGUAGAGGGUAGUGGAAUUUCCUGUGUAGCGGUGAAAUGCGUAGAUAUAGGAAGGAACACCAGUGGCGAAGGCGACUACCUGGACUGAUACUGACACUGAGGUGCGAAAGCGUGGGGAGCAAACAGGAUUAGAUACCCUGGUAGUCCACGCCGUAAACGAUGUCGACUAGCCGUUGGGAUCCUUGAGAUCUUAGUGGCGAAGCUAACGCGAUAAGUCGACCGCCUGGGGAGUACGGCCGCAAGGUUAAAACUCAAAUGAAUUGACGGGGGCCCGCACAAAGCGGUGGAGCAUGUGGUUUAAUNCGAAGCAACGCGAANAACCUUACCUGGCCUUGACAUGCUGANAACUUUUCNANAAAUGGAUUGGUGCCUUCGGGAACUCAAACACAGGUGCUGCAUGGCUGUCCUCACCUCNUGUCCNGAAAUUUNGGNUNAAUUCCNUAACNAGCGCANCCCUUNUCCUUANUUAC
RNAcentral lists this ribosomal RNA (1074 nucleotides) under uncultured Gammaproteobacteria bacterium. Its description in RNAcentral is "bacterial SSU rRNA". It matches the Rfam family "Bacterial small subunit ribosomal RNA", at positions 50 to 1118 of the family's 1533-position model. Lineage: Bacteria; Pseudomonadati; Pseudomonadota; Gammaproteobacteria. The record is from RNAcentral.